UCCAUUGUAUCACACACAUGUCCAUUGUAUGACACGCGUGUUGUUGCCGUGUCACACACGUGUUGUUGCCAUGUCACACGCGUGUCGUUGCCGUGUUACACAUGUCCAUUGCAUGACACAUGUGUCCUUGUCAUGUCACACACAUGUCCAUUGUAUUACACACGUCCAUUGUAUGACACGCGUGUCCUUGUCAUGUCACACGCGUGUCGUUGCCGUAUUACACAUGUCCAUUGUAUGACACGUGUGUUGUUGCCAUGUCCCACGCGUGUUGUUGCCGUGUCACACACAUGUUGUUGCCGUGUUACACGCGUGUUGUUGCCGUGUUACACGCGUAUGCUCCCCCCGUGUUCCAUGUUGGUGUUUCCCGUGUCUCCCAUUGGCGGCUCCACGUCCCCGUCGUCAGACACAGGAUCCUCUGGGGGCACAAAGGGGGGAAAUCAAUGGGGCUGCCCCAUAGCGGAGCCCUAUAGGGAUCCCUGCCCCAUAGCGUAGCCCUACAGGGAUCCCUGACCCAUAGCAGAGCCCUAUAGGGAUCCCUGCCCCAUAGCGGAGCCCUAUAGGGAUCCCUGCCCCAUAGCGGAGCCCUAUAGGGAUCCCUGCCC
This 602-nucleotide long non-coding RNA is filed under the name Coturnix japonica (Japanese quail). Its description in RNAcentral is "lncRNA (ENSCJPG00005006663.1)". The record is from RNAcentral. Lineage: Eukaryota; Metazoa; Chordata; Aves; Galliformes; Phasianidae.